RNAcentral lists this ribosomal RNA (462 nucleotides) under Corynebacterium durum. RNAcentral's name for it is "bacterial SSU rRNA". It matches the Rfam family "Bacterial small subunit ribosomal RNA", at positions 28 to 495 of the family's 1533-position model. The record is from RNAcentral. Lineage: Bacteria; Bacillati; Actinomycetota; Actinomycetes; Mycobacteriales; Corynebacteriaceae.
GACGAACGCUGGCGGCGUGCUUAACACAUGCAAGUCGAACGGAAAGGCCCGCCACCUUGGUGGUGGGUACUCGAGUGGCGAACGGGUGAGUAACACGUGGGUGAUCUGCCCCGCACUGUGGGAUAAGCCUGGGAAACUGGGUCUAAUACCACAUACGACCAUGGCGUAGGGGUCAUGGUGGAAAGCUUUUGCGGUGUGGGAUGAGCCCGCGGCCUAUCAGCUUGUUGGUGGGGUAAUGGCCUACCAAGGCGGCGACGGGUAGCCGGCCUGAGAGGGUGGACGGCCACAUUGGGACUGAGACACGGCCCAGACUCCUACGGGAGGCAGCAGUGGGGAAUGUUGCACAAUGGGCGCAAGCCUGAUGCAGCGACGCCGCGUGGGGGAUGACGGCCUUCGGGUUGUAAACUCCUUUCGCCCGGGACGAAGCCCACCUGGUGGUGACGGACCGGAGAAGAAGCACCG